GACGAACGCUGGCGGCGUGCCUAAUACAUGCAAGUCGAGCGAAUGGAUUAAGAGCUUGCUCUUAUGAAGUUAGCGGCGGACGGGUGAGUAACACGUGGGUAACCUGCCCAUAAGACUGGGAUAACUCCGGGAAACCGGGGCUAAUACCGGAUAACAUUUUGAACCGCAUGGUUCGAAAUUGAAAGGCGGCUUCGGCUGUCACUUAUGGAUGGACCCGCGUCGCAUUAGCUAGUUGGCGAGGUAACGGCUCACCAAGGCAACGAUGCGUAGCCGACCUGAGAGGGUGAUCGGCCACCCUGGGACUGAGACACGGCCCAGACUCCUACGGGAGGCAGCAGUAGGGAAUCUUCCGCAAUGGACGAAAGUCUGACGGAGCAACGCCGCGUGAGUGAUGAAGGCUUUCGGGUCGUAAAACUCUGUUGUUAGGGAAGAACAAGUGCUAGUUGAAUAAGCUGGCACCUUGACGGUACCUAACCAGAAAGCCACGGCUAACUACGUGCCAGCAGCCGCUGUAA
RNAcentral lists this ribosomal RNA (515 nucleotides) under uncultured bacterium. RNAcentral's name for it is "partial 16S ribosomal RNA". It matches the Rfam family "Bacterial small subunit ribosomal RNA", at positions 28 to 523 of the family's 1533-position model. The record is from RNAcentral.